GUUGAGUUUUGAUCAGUUGCAGCAAAAAGUUUUUAGACAAAAGUACUGCUUCAUUGAAUUUGGAAGGGGAAGACAAUUACGGUUUGAAUUCCUUGAAUGUGCUGAGCAUAAUACACGUUAAACUUAGUCAAAUUUGAAAGGUGGGACUGAGACAGGGACUCAGAGGUUUUUCGUUUUUAUGCUGAAAAUUGACAUGCAUGAAUAAUAACUCCUGAGUGACAUACGAGUGCUAGAAGAGAGUAAGGUGGAAAGGACAUCUCUUUCCCCGGGCAGGCUGUGACUAGUCGGUCCUGUGCGGUGCCAACUGCAGACUUCAGACGGAGCGAAGAAACCAGAGGAACCAUCCAAGAGCUCCUGGCUUCCUCGGAGGCUGUGGGAGAAACUACCUUCCUCCCCCACCAGUGGGAAGGUCCCUCCUCUUGAGGAAAUGGAUGGAGGCCUUUGGGUCUGAGGUCUCACCUGUUCUGUUGCAGUGCUGACCGUGCCCCACCUCUACGCUGCCUUGGACACACGUGCAUCUUAUCUAUGAGGAGGGAAAGACCCAAGGAGAACUUGCCCAAGAAUGACACCUUUUGGAAGACUUGUCUGUAAGGGUUUUACGGGUAGGCUAUGUGACACGUAAACCCACAAAGGAUCCUACAUUUAGACUUCAACUGUAUCUCCGAGUGAGCUUAUUCAUACAGCUGCCAAGAUCAUAGCAGAACUGGAGAAAAAACAAGGUUCAUCACAGGACCAGAAACUUGUGCUCAAUUUUGGAAAAAUAGUCUCCAUAUCCCCCAUUUUAUUAAUUUGGUGAUUAUCCUAGACAUAGCACAUUGUUUUUUAAGUAGGCUCCAUGCCCAUCAUGGUCAAGGCUCGAACUCAUGACCCUGAGAUCAUGACCUGAGCUGAGAUGAAGAGUCAGAUGCUUAACCAACUGAGCCCCCUUCGCACCCAGCACAAUAUAUAUAUUUUUUAACUUAAAGAGUUAACUUGUUUAGCAUAACCAUUGGAACAUAUACUAUGAUUUUCAUAACUCUGUGUCAGUGUUUCUUCUUAUUUUUUUCUUAUACCAGGAGCUUAAAGGAAACAGAGAAGCCCGGGCCUCCCAGUCUCUCUGAGGCUUUACUCGUUCAUCCUGAGUAUCCUUCAUUUUCAUCUCCACCAUGCCAGAGUCCCACUCCGCAAGAAGACAACGCCAUGUAGUAAAAGGAAAAUAACAUAUGGGAGAGGCACAUUACAAGUACCAAAUGAACGACCUAAGCCCUAUAACAGUCUUGGUGCAUUGCCAAAAGACACCUCCAAUUAUAUUACUAAAGAGAAGAAAAAAUCCCUCACCUCUAGAUGAUAUUCUACUCCUGCUAUUUUGUUAUAAUGCACUUGUAAUGCAGAACUAUCCCAAGCCCUUUCUGGAAUAUGCCAUGCUUUCAAACUCCUGGGCUAGCACCGUGAGGAUGGAAAGGAAUUGCAUUUGCAAAUGUCAGCCCACCUCAUCCAUCUCCCCUCAUUCAAACAAUACGCAUUCGAGGUUCAGCAAUCGGAGUUAUAUAUUUUUCCUUAAUGUUGUUGUAAGGUAAUGGUUCUCUUAUCUGAAAUUCAUCAGCCUGCUAUAAAUUUAAACUCCAUUACUGCCAAUAGAGAAAAGCUAAGCACCAAACCACUUUCAAUAAAUUUGCACUUAUGCAAUUGAACUGAUACGGCCUCAGAGGAAAAGGUGAAACUCGUCUUGAGAUAUUUAAGUUAGUCUGAGUCACUGCUUCGUCUGGUGUUAAAUUGGAUCCAUCGAGAAAUGUAGGGCAGCACUCAUCAGCCCUGAGUUAUAAGAAGAGAUUUCAGGGUAAAAAAAAAAAAAAAAAAAAAAAAAAUUCUGUCUCCAGCAUUCGUUAUUAGAUGGUGUAAUUCUAAGAAAC
This is a long non-coding RNA of Mustela lutreola (European mink), 1889 nucleotides long. RefSeq lists it as uncharacterized. The transcript is spliced from 4 exons. NCBI's taxonomy places the organism in Eukaryota, Metazoa, Chordata, Mammalia, Carnivora, Mustelidae. The record is from RefSeq and is a predicted model, not a curated record.